Molecule: unclassified non-coding RNA, 347 nt
Filed under: Basidiomycota sp.
Lineage: Eukaryota; Fungi; Basidiomycota
Description: partial contains small subunit ribosomal RNA, internal transcribed spacer 1, and 5.8S ribosomal RNA
Rfam family: Eukaryotic small subunit ribosomal RNA (bases 1-47)
Source: RNAcentral
AAAGUCGUAACAAGGUUUCCGUAGGUGAACCUGCGGAAGGAUCAUUCUUGUAUCUCACCACUUUCCAGUGGCAAACUAUGUGAACUGUACAUUUUCGCACACGUGUGCAUCAAGCAUCAUUAGUGUGAUGGUGGAGCAAGCGAGCCAACUUGGCGAGAGGCGGUGUUCAAGUCGUCGAAAGAUUUACUGAGCAUGCGCGUUGCCCUGUCGUUUCGUUUGUUUAGCUUUAUCCUAGUGGUGUGCACGCGUUGCUACCCCAACAACAACCACGUACCCAAUUAAACCUUUCGUCUUAAAUCAACAACAACAACUUAAUACAACUUUUAGCAACGGAUCUCUUGGCUCUC